GGUUGGUCGAGGGUAGUGGUGUUUACAACUACUUGAUCAUGACCAGUUACAGAUUUCUCUGUUCCUUCUCCACUCCCACUACUUCAAUUGACCAGUAAA
This 99-nucleotide Y RNA is filed under the name Peromyscus maniculatus bairdii (prairie deer mouse). RNAcentral describes it as "Y RNA (ENSPEMG00000006932.2)". It matches the Rfam family "Y RNA". Rfam says of the family: Y RNAs are components of the Ro ribonucleoprotein particle (Ro RNP), in association with Ro60 and La proteins. The Y RNAs and Ro60 and La proteins are well conserved, but the function of the Ro RNP is not known. The record is from RNAcentral. Lineage: Eukaryota; Metazoa; Chordata; Mammalia; Rodentia; Cricetidae.